This is a non-coding RNA of Paramuricea clavata, 404 nucleotides long. The record is from the annotation of a GenBank genome assembly. Lineage: Eukaryota; Metazoa; Cnidaria; Anthozoa; Malacalcyonacea; Plexauridae.
ACGUCUACUUCAUCACCAGCAUCAAGCGUGGUUCCCAAGUCGUGAAGAACUGACAACAACUGCGUAAUACAAGAUCUUCCUCGAACAAAGCCAUGCUGUGCAGAUGUUAGAAGGUGACUGAGCUUCGAUAGUAAGUUCCUGAGGACGCAACGUUCACACAAUUUGCUCACAAUAAAUAGAAGCGAAAUUUGACGAUAGUUGGGCACUAAAAGCUUUACAUCCUUUUUUAAACACUGGUGUUAUGUUUGCCUGUUUCCAAUCACUUGGAAGCUUACCCAUACGUAAUGACUUGUUGAAUAAUAAGCAUAAGGAGGGAGCUAGUUCGUUUGCACAUUCUUUCAGAAUUCUCGGAUGGAGAUUGUCCGGUCCAGGUGUUUUACUCGAGUUGAGAUUUUGUAGAGAGG